GGUUACUGCUAUCGGAGUUCGAGUAAGCCAUGCGAGUCUAAAGGUUUCUUCGGAAACCUUGGCGGACUGCUCAGUAACACGUGGAUAACCUACCCUUAGGACUGGAAUAACCCCGGGAAACUGGGGAUAAUACUGGAUAGAUCAGGGAUGCUGGAAUGCACCUUGAUCCAAAGCUCCGACGCCUAAGGAUGGGUCUGCGGCCUAUCAGGUUGUAGUGGGUGUAACGUACCUACUAGCCGACGACGGGUACGGGUUGUGAGAGCAAGAGCCCGGAGAUGGAUUCUGAGACACGAAUCCAGGCCCUACGGGGUGCAGCAGGCGCGGAACCUUUACAAUGUGCGAAAGCAUGAUAAGGGGACUCCGAGUGCCAGCAUCUAAUGCUGGCUGUCCCUGUGCCUAAAAAGCACAAGAUAGCAAGGGCCAGGUAAGACCGGUGCCGGCCGCCGCGGUAACACCGGCGGCCCGAGUGGUAGCCGCUAUUAUUGGGUCUAAAGGGUCCGUAGCCGGUUCGGUAAGUCCUUUGGGAAAUCUGGUUGCUUAACAAUCAGACUGCCAAGGGAUACUGCUGAACUUGAGACCGGGAGAGGUAAGAGGUACUUCAGGGGUAGGAGUGAAAUCUUGUGAUCCCUGGGGGACCAUCUGUGGCGAAGGCGUCUUACCAGAACGGGUCUGACGGUGAGGGACGAAAGCUGGGGGCGCAAACCGGAUUAGAUACCCGGGUAGUCCCAGCCGUAAACGAUGCUCGCUAUGUGUCAGGUACGGUGCGACCGUAUCUGGUGCCGUAGGGAAGCCGUGAAGCGAGCCACCUGGGAAGUACGGUCGCAAGACUGAAACUUAAAGGAAUUGGCGGGGGAGCACUACAACGGGUGGAGCCUGCGGUUU
RNAcentral lists this ribosomal RNA (882 nucleotides) under uncultured archaeon. RNAcentral describes it as "bacterial SSU rRNA". It matches the Rfam family "Archaeal small subunit ribosomal RNA", at positions 21 to 903 of the family's 1478-position model. The record is from RNAcentral.